CGGCAUGCCUUACACAUGCAAGUCGAACGGCAGCACGGGAGCAAUCCGUGGUGGCGAGUGGCGAACGGGUGAGUAAUAUAUCGGAACGUGCCCAAGUCGUAGGGGGAUAACGCAUCGAAAGAUGUGCUAAUACCGCAUAAUCUCUGAGGAGGAAAGGCGGGGAUCACGCAAGUGACCUGUCGCUGAAAGAGCGGCCGAUGGUCGAUUAGCUAGUUGGCGGGGUAAAAGCCCACCAAGGCGAUGAUCGAUAGCGGGUCUGAGAGGACGAUCCGUCACACUGGGACUGAGACACGGCCCAGACUCCUACGGGAGGCAGCAGUGGGGAAUAUUGGGCAAUGGACGAAAGUCUGACCCAGCCAUGCCGCGUGAAGGAUGAAGGUCCUCUGGAUUGUAAACUUCUUUUUUCUGGGGAGAAAUGCAUCUUUUCUAAGGUGUUUGACGGUACCAGAAGAAUAAGCACCGGCUAACUCCGUG
Molecule: ribosomal RNA, 474 nt
Filed under: uncultured bacterium
Lineage: Bacteria
Description: bacterial SSU rRNA
Rfam family: Bacterial small subunit ribosomal RNA
Source: RNAcentral